GACGAACGCUGGCGGCGUGCUUAACACAUGCAAGUCGAACGAAGAGCGAUGGAAGCUUGCUUCUAUCAAUCUUAGUGGCGAACGGGUGAGUAACGCGUAAUCAACCUGCCCUUCAGAGGGGGACAACAGUUGGAAACGACUGCUAAUACCGCAUACGAUUUAACCUCGGCAUCGAGGAAAGAUGAAAGGUGGCCUCUAUUUAUAAGCUAUCACUGAAGGAGGGGAUUGCGUCUGAUUAGCUAGUUGGAGGGGUAACGGCCCACCAAGGCGAUGAUCAGUAGCCGGUCUGAGAGGAUGAACGGCCACAUUGGGACUGAGACACGGCCCAGACUCCUACGGGAGGCAGCAGUGGGGAAUCUUCCGCAAUGGGCGAAAGUCUGACGGAGCAACGCCGCGUGAGUGAUGACGGCCUUCGGGUUGUAAAGCUCUGUUAAUCGGGACGAAAGGCCUUCUUGCGAACAGUUAG
This 466-nucleotide ribosomal RNA is filed under the name Veillonella parvula. RNAcentral's name for it is "bacterial SSU rRNA". It matches the Rfam family "Bacterial small subunit ribosomal RNA", at positions 28 to 471 of the family's 1533-position model. Lineage: Bacteria; Bacillati; Bacillota; Negativicutes; Veillonellales; Veillonellaceae. The record is from RNAcentral.